UCUGACCUGCCCAUUGGAAAACUGAAAGGCCGCGGUAUUAUGACCGUGCAAAGGUAGCAUAAUCAUUAGUUUUUUAAUUGAAGGCGAGAAUGAAUGGUUGGACAAGAAAUAAUCUGUCUUAAAUUAAUAUAUUGAAUUUAACUUUUAAGUGAAAAGGCUUAAAUGAUCUAAGGGGACGAUGAGACCCUAUAAAACUUUAUAUUUUAAGGUGGAAAAUAAUUUUAUUUUAAAAUUACUAUUUUAAAUUAUUUUGUUGGGGCGACAAGGAUAUAAGAAAGGAUAACUGUCUUUUAUUUUUACAAUAAUAUUUGAAUUAUUGAUCCUAAAAGGGAUUAAAGAUUAAGUUACUUUAGGGAUAACAGCGUAAUUUUCUUUGAGAGUUCUUAUCGACAAGAAAGUUUGCGACCUCGAUGUUGAAUUAAAGGUUCUUUAUAGAGUAGAGACUAUAAGAGAAGGUCUGUUCGACCUUUAAAAUUUUACAUGAUUUGA
This 489-nucleotide ribosomal RNA is filed under the name Faxonius virilis species complex clade 1. RNAcentral describes it as "Orconectes virilis species complex clade 1 partial 16S ribosomal RNA". It matches the Rfam family "Archaeal large subunit ribosomal RNA", at positions 1945 to 2677 of the family's 2987-position model. The record is from RNAcentral. Lineage: Eukaryota; Metazoa; Arthropoda; Malacostraca; Decapoda; Cambaridae.